Non-coding RNA from Myotis davidii, 75 nucleotides. Lineage: Eukaryota; Metazoa; Chordata; Mammalia; Chiroptera; Vespertilionidae. The record is from Rfam.
GGUGGUUCUUGGGUGACACACCCCAGAAUCAGGCUUCCUCCUCUCUGGUUCAGGGUGUGUCAUCCAAGAACUUCA